Molecule: ribosomal RNA, 253 nt
Filed under: uncultured bacterium
Lineage: Bacteria
Description: partial 16S ribosomal RNA
Rfam family: Bacterial small subunit ribosomal RNA
Source: RNAcentral
UACGGAGGAUGCAAGCGUUAUCCGGAUUUAUUGGGCGUAAAGCGUCCGCAGGUGGUUUUUCAAGUCUGCUGUUAAAGCGCGAGGCUUAACUUCGUACAGGCAGUGGAAACUGGAAGACUUGAGUAUGGUAGGGGUAGCGGGAAUUCCCAGUGUAGCGGUGAAAUGCGUAGAUAUUGGGAAGAACACCGGUGGCGAAAGCGCUCUGCUAGGCCGCAACUGACACUGAGGGACGAAAGCUAGGGGAGCGAAUGGG